CAGCGCCGCGGUAAUACGAAGGGGGCUAGCGUUGUUCGGAAUUACUGGGCGUAAAGCGCACGUAGGCGGAUAUUUAAGUCAGGGGUGAAAUCCCGCAGCUCAACUGCGGAACUGCCUUUGAUACUGGGUAUCUUGAGUAUGGAAGAGGUUAGUGGAAUUGCGAGUGUAGAGGUGAAAUUCGUAGAUAUUCGGAAGAACACCAGUGGCGAAGGCGGCUCACUGGACCGGCAUUGACGCUGAGGUGCGAAAGCGUGGGGAGCAAACAGGAUUAGAUACCCCAGUAGUCCCUGUCUCUUAUACA
RNAcentral lists this ribosomal RNA (301 nucleotides) under uncultured bacterium. Its description in RNAcentral is "partial 16S ribosomal RNA". It matches the Rfam family "Bacterial small subunit ribosomal RNA", at positions 509 to 808 of the family's 1533-position model. The record is from RNAcentral.